AAUAGGGGCAGUUCGCAUAACUAUCCUAUCAAGAUGGCCCCUAU
This 44-nucleotide transfer RNA is filed under the name Lepeophtheirus salmonis (salmon louse). RNAcentral describes it as "tRNA-Ile". RNAcentral also lists the same sequence under 1 other name. The record is from RNAcentral. Lineage: Eukaryota; Metazoa; Arthropoda; Copepoda; Siphonostomatoida; Caligidae.